RNAcentral lists this ribosomal RNA (3042 nucleotides) under Salmonella enterica subsp. enterica serovar Stanleyville. RNAcentral's name for it is "23S ribosomal RNA". It matches the Rfam family "Bacterial large subunit ribosomal RNA". Lineage: Bacteria; Pseudomonadati; Pseudomonadota; Gammaproteobacteria; Enterobacterales; Enterobacteriaceae. The record is from RNAcentral.
GGGUUGUGAGGUUAAGCGACUAAGCGUACACGGUGGAUGCCCUGGCAGUCAGAGGCGAUGAAGGGCGUGCUAAUCUGCGAUAAGCGCCGGUAAGGUGAUAUGAACCGUUAUAACCGGCGAUACCCGAAUGGGGAAACCCAGUGUGACUCGUCACACUAUCAUUAACUGAAUCCAUAGGUUAAUGAGGCGAACCGGGGGAACUGAAACAUCUAAGUACCCCGAGGAAAAGAAAUCAACCGAGAUUCCCCCAGUAGCGGCGAGCGAACGGGGAGGAGCCCAGAGCCUGAAUCAGCAUGUGUGUUAGUGGAAGCGUCUGGAAAGGCGCGCGAUACAGGGUGACAGCCCCGUACACAAAAGCGCAUGUGCUGUGAGCUCGAUGAGUAGGGCGGGACACGUGGUAUCCUGUCUGAAUAUGGGGGGACCAUCCUCCAAGGCUAAAUACUCCUGACUGACCGAUAGUGAACCAGUACCGUGAGGGAAAGGCGAAAAGAACCCCGGCGAGGGGAGUGAAAAAGAACCUGAAACCGUGUACGUACAAGCAGUGGGAGCCCCACCACCAAAGCGUUUCGCUUUGUGUGGUGCACAAAGAAGCGUAACGACAGCACUGAAUGACGGUUAACGGAGCGCAAGCGACGUUCAACAUACAAAGUCAAGCAGUGGAGCGCUUUGGGGUGGGGUGACUGCGUACCUUUUGUAUAAUGGGUCAGCGACUUAUAUUCUGUAGCAAGGUUAACCGCAUAGGGGAGCCGGAGGGAAACCGAGUCUUAACCGGGCGUUAAGUUGCAGGGUAUAGACCCGAAACCCGGUGAUCUAGCCAUGGGCAGGUUGAAGGUUGGGUAACACUAACUGGAGGACCGAACCGACUAAUGUUGAAAAAUUAGCGGAUGACCUGUGGCUGGGGGUGAAAGGCCAAUCAAACCGGGAGAUAGCUGGUUCUCCCCGAAAGCUAUUUAGGUAGCGCCUCGUGAAUUCAUCUCCGGGGGUAGAGCACUGUUUCGGCUAGGGGGCCAUCCCGGCUUACCAACCCGAUGCAAACUGCGAAUACCGGAGAAUGUUAUCACGGGAGACACACGGCGGGUGCUAACGUCCGUCGUGAAGAGGGAAACAACCCAGACCGCCAGCUAAGGUCCCAAAGUCAUGGUUAAGUGGGAAACGAUGUGGGAAGGCCCAGACAGCCAGGAUGUUGGCUUAGAAGCAGCCAUCAUUUAAAGAAAGCGUAAUAGCUCACUGGUCGAGUCGGCCUGCGCGGAAGAUGUAACGGGGCUAAACCAUGCACCGAAGCUGCGGCAGCGACGCUGAUGCGUUGUUGGGUAGGGGAGCGUUCUGUAAGCCUGCGAAGGUGGCCUGUGAGGGUUGCUGGAGGUAUCAGAAGUGCGAAUGCUGACAUAAGUAACGAUAAAGCGGGUGAAAAGCCCGCUCGCCGGAAGACCAAGGGUUCCUGUCCAACGUUAAUCGGGGCAGGGUGAGUCGACCCCUAAGGCGAGGCCGAAAGGCGUAGUCGAUGGGAAACGGGUUAAUAUUCCCGUACUUGGUGUUACUGCGAAGGGGGGACGGAGAAGGCUAUGUUGGCCGGGCGACGGUUGUCCCGGUUUAAGCGUGUAGGUGUGUGUUCCAGGUAAAUCCGGUUCACUUUAACACUGAGGCGUGAUGACGAGGCACUACGGUGCUGAAGCAACAAAUGCCCUGCUUCCAGGAAAAGCCUCUAAGCAUCAGGUAACAUCAAAUCGUACCCCAAACCGACACAGGUGGUCAGGUAGAGAAUACCAAGGCGCUUGAGAGAACUCGGGUGAAGGAACUAGGCAAAAUGGUGCCGUAACUUCGGGAGAAGGCACGCUGACACGUAGGUGAAGUGAUUUACUCAUGGAGCUGAAGUCAGUCGAAGAUACCAGCUGGCUGCAACUGUUUAUUAAAAACACAGCACUGUGCAAACACGAAAGUGGACGUAUACGGUGUGACGCCUGCCCGGUGCCGGAAGGUUAAUUGAUGGGGUCAGCGCAAGCGAAGCUCCUGAUCGAAGCCCCGGUAAACGGCGGCCGUAACUAUAACGGUCCUAAGGUAGCGAAAUUCCUUGUCGGGUAAGUUCCGACCUGCACGAAUGGCGUAAUGAUGGCCAGGCUGUCUCCACCCGAGACUCAGUGAAAUUGAACUCGCUGUGAAGAUGCAGUGUACCCGCGGCAAGACGGAAAGACCCCGUGAACCUUUACUAUAGCUUGACACUGAACAUUGAGCCUUGAUGUGUAGGAUAGGUGGGAGGCUUUGAAGCGUGGACGCCAGUCUGCGUGGAGCCAACCUUGAAAUACCACCCUUUAAUGUUUGAUGUUCUAACGUGGACCCGUAAUCCGGGUUGCGGACAGUGUCUGGUGGGUAGUUUGACUGGGGCGGUCUCCUCCUAAAGAGUAACGGAGGAGCACGAAGGUUGGCUAAUCCUGGUCGGACAUCAGGAGGUUAGUGCAAUGGCAUAAGCCAGCUUGACUGCGAGCGUGACGGCGCGAGCAGGUGCGAAAGCAGGUCAUAGUGAUCCGGUGGUUCUGAAUGGAAGGGCCAUCGCUCAACGGAUAAAAGGUACUCCGGGGAUAACAGGCUGAUACCGCCCAAGAGUUCAUAUCGACGGCGGUGUUUGGCACCUCGAUGUCGGCUCAUCACAUCCUGGGGCUGAAGUAGGUCCCAAGGGUAUGGCUGUUCGCCAUUUAAAGUGGUACGCGAGCUGGGUUUAGAACGUCGUGAGACAGUUCGGUCCCUAUCUGCCGUGGGCGCUGGAGAACUGAGGGGGGCUGCUCCUAGUACGAGAGGACCGGAGUGGACGCAUCACUGGUGUUCGGGUUGUCAUGCCAAUGGCACUGCCCGGUAGCUAAAUGCGGAAGAGAUAAGUGCUGAAAGCAUCUAAGCACGAAACUUGCCCCGAGAUGAGUUCUCCCUGAGACUUAAAGUCUCCUGAAGGAACGUUGAAGACGACGACGUUGAUAGGCCGGGUGUGUAAGCGCAGCGAUGCGUUGAGCUAACCGGUACUAAUGAACCGUGAGGCUUAACCUUACAACGCCGAAG